GAUCCUGGCUCAGGAUGAACGCUGACAGAAUGCUUAACACAUGCAAGUCAACUUGAAUUUGGGUUUUUAACUUAGAUUUGGGUGGCGGACGGGUGAGUAACGCGUAAAGAACUUGCCUCACAGCUAGGGAUAACAUUUAGAAAUGAAUGCUAAUACCUGAUAUUAUGAUUUUAAGGCAUCUUAGAAUUAUGAAAGCUAUAAGCACUGUGAGAGAGCUUUGCGUCCCAUUAG
RNAcentral lists this ribosomal RNA (231 nucleotides) under uncultured bacterium. Its description in RNAcentral is "partial 16S ribosomal RNA". It matches the Rfam family "Bacterial small subunit ribosomal RNA", at positions 15 to 244 of the family's 1533-position model. The record is from RNAcentral.